This 1024-nucleotide ribosomal RNA is filed under the name Globisporangium irregulare. RNAcentral describes it as "partial large subunit ribosomal RNA". It matches the Rfam family "Eukaryotic large subunit ribosomal RNA", at positions 78 to 906 of the family's 3401-position model. The record is from RNAcentral. Lineage: Eukaryota; Oomycota; Peronosporomycetes; Pythiales; Pythiaceae.
CCCUAGUAACGGCGAGUGAAGCGGGAUGAGCUCAAGCUUAAAAUCUCUGUGCCAGUUUGGCAUGGCGAAUUGUAGUCUAUAGAGGCGUUGUCAGUGCGGCUGUGCGGGGUAAGUUCCUUGGAAGAGGACAGCAUCGAGGGUGAUACUCCCGUUUGUACCUGUGCGGCUUGCGCGUACGACACGUUUUCUUCGAGUCGCGUUGUUUGGGACUGCAGCGCAAAGUAGGUGGUAAAUUCCAUCUAAAGCUAAAUAUUGGUGCGAGACCGAUAGCGAACAAGUACCGUGAGGGAAAGAUGAAAAGAACUUUGAAAAGAGAGUUAAAGAGUACCUGAAACUGCUGAAAGGGAAGCGAAUCGUAUCCAGUGUCUAUAAUCUGCGACAUAUUUCAUUGGCGACAGUGUGCGUGCUUUUGCGUCGGAAGCGGCUUUUGUUGCUCUGUGCUUUUGCUGUGCGCGCUGUUGCUGUUGCCCUGUGUUGCGGUGGGACGUCAGAGUCAGUUCGUAUGCUGCGGGAAAUGGCCGCCGAGGAGGUAGGUCAGGAUUUCGGUCUUGGCUGUUAUAUCUUGGUGGUUUGUUGUCGUGGUUGGGACUGAGGUGCCUACAAUGUGCUUUUGAGUGUGCCGGGUUCUCAUUUGGUGGACUGUUUGGAUAGCUUGCUAUGCUUGUGGUUUUUUCAUCGAGUGAUUGAGUCUGGUGGUAACUUAUUGCCGUUCGGGACUUUGACGAAAUGGAGCGAUUCGGCCCGUCUUGAAACACGGACCAAGGAGUCUAACAUGUGUGCAAGUGUUAGGGUGUGGAAACCCGAGCGCGUAAUGAAAGUAAAGGGUGGCUUUAGCUGCCUGAGGUAGGAAACCUUUGUUCUCAGAGGUGGCACUAUCGACCGAUCAAGAACCUUCGUGGUGAAAGAUUUGAGUAUGAGCACAUAUGUUGGUACCCGAAAGAUGGUGAACUAUGCCUGAGUAGGGUGAAGCCAGGGGAAACUCUGGUGGAAGCUCGUAGCGAUUCUGACGUGCAAAUCGAUCGUC